Molecule: ribosomal RNA, 253 nt
Filed under: uncultured bacterium
Lineage: Bacteria
Description: partial 16S ribosomal RNA
Rfam family: Bacterial small subunit ribosomal RNA
Source: RNAcentral
UACGGGGGGGGCAAGCGUUGUUCGGAAUUACUGGGCGUAGAGCGCACGUAGUCGGCUUUGUAAGUUAGAGGUGAAAGCCCAGGGCUCAACCCUGGAAUUGCCUUUAAGACUGCAUCGCUUGAACAUCGGAGAGGUAAGUGGAAUUCCGAGUGUAGAGGUGAAAUUCGUAGAUAUUCGGAAGAACACCAGUGGCGAAGGCGACUUACUGGACGAUUGUUGACGCUGAGGUGCGAAAGCGUGGGGAGCAAACAGG